GGAUGCGAUCAUACCAGCACUAAAGGACCGGAUCCCAUCAGAACUCUGAAGUUAAGCGUGCUUGGGCGAGAGUAGUACUAGGAUGGGUGACCUCCUGGGAAGUCCUCGUGUUGCAUUCC
RNAcentral lists this ribosomal RNA (119 nucleotides) under Hordeum vulgare subsp. vulgare (domesticated barley). The record is from RNAcentral. Lineage: Eukaryota; Viridiplantae; Streptophyta; Magnoliopsida; Poales; Poaceae.